ACGAGCGCAACCCUUAUCCUUUGUUGCCAGCGAUUCGGUCGGGAACUCAAAGGAGACUGCCGGUGAUAAACCGGAGGAAGGUGGGGAUGACGUCAAGUCAUCAUGGCCCUUACGGCCAGGGCUACACACGUGCUACAAUGGCGCAUACAAAGAGAAGCGACCUCGCGAGAGCAAGCGGACCUCAUAAAGUGCGUCGUAGUCCGGAUUGGAGUCUGCAACUCGACUCCAUGAAGUCGGAAUCGCUAGUAAUCGUAGAUCAGAAUGCUACGGUGAAUACGUUCCCGGGCCUUGUACACACCGCCCGUCACACCAUGGGAGUGGGUUGCAAAAGAAGUAGGUAGCUUAACCUUCGGGAGGGCGCUUACCACUUUGUGAUUCAUGACUGGGGUGAAGUCGUAACAAGGUAGGCGUAGUGCU
Molecule: ribosomal RNA, 417 nt
Filed under: uncultured bacterium
Lineage: Bacteria
Description: bacterial SSU rRNA
Rfam family: Bacterial small subunit ribosomal RNA
Source: RNAcentral